CCUAAACCUAAUAAUUUCCUAACAAAAUUAUUCGCCAGAGAACUACAAGCCAGAGCUUAAAACUCAAAGGACUUGGCGGUGCUUUAUACCCGCCUAGAGGAGCCUGUUCUAUAAUCGAUAAACCCCGAUAAACCUUACCACUCUUUGCCAACUCAGCCUAUAUACCGCCUCCUUCAGCAAACAA
RNAcentral lists this ribosomal RNA (184 nucleotides) under Lepus capensis (brown hare). Its description in RNAcentral is "partial small subunit ribosomal RNA". Lineage: Eukaryota; Metazoa; Chordata; Mammalia; Lagomorpha; Leporidae. The record is from RNAcentral.